CCAUUGCCAACCACUGCCAAAAUCAACACCAACACCCAGGAACCAUCAACCACUGCCACCGCCAAAAUCACCACCACCACCAUCAACCAUCAAAAAUUGCCACUGCCGCCACCACCACAUAGGGUGAAGACCGGCAGCAAAGGGGGACACGCAGAAAAUCGAGAAGAAAGAAGAACCACAUCAAUUCAAUUCAUCAAAGAUAUUAUCACAGUUAAGAUUAAUUCAACCAAUUCAAUCACCACAUCACCGUCGUCGACCGUCACCACCACCAUCAAACAAAUCAACCGAAAUCAACACCAACACCACCACUCAUCGCCAUCAGAUCGAAAAAGGAAAAAAAACCCAACAGUGCAGAGUGAAAAGAGGACGAACUACAGCCGAAGUCG
RNAcentral lists this long non-coding RNA (386 nucleotides) under Olea europaea (common olive). Its description in RNAcentral is "long non-coding RNA (OEUR_LNC013436)". Lineage: Eukaryota; Viridiplantae; Streptophyta; Magnoliopsida; Lamiales; Oleaceae. The record is from RNAcentral.